RNAcentral lists this ribosomal RNA (483 nucleotides) under uncultured bacterium. RNAcentral describes it as "partial 16S ribosomal RNA". It matches the Rfam family "Bacterial small subunit ribosomal RNA", at positions 28 to 507 of the family's 1533-position model. The record is from RNAcentral.
AUUGAACGCUGGCGGCAUGCCUUACACAUGCAAGUCGAACGGCAGCGCGGGCUUCGGCCUCGCGUCGAGUUGCCAACGGGUGAGUAAUUCAUCGGAACGUGCCCAGUAGUGGGGGCUAGCCCGGCUACAGCCGGAUUAAUACCGCAUACGACCUGAGGGUGAAAGCGGGGGCCCAAAGGGCACAGGCUGUUUGAGCGGCCGAUGUCGGAUUAGCUAGUUGGUGGGGUAAAGGCUUACCAAGGCGACGAUUCGUAGCUGGUCUGAGAGGGCGACCAGCCACACUGGGACUGAGACACGGCCCAGACUCCUACGGGAGGCAGCAGUGGGGAAUUUUGGACAAUGGGGGCAACCCUGAUCCAGCCAUGCCGCGUGCGGGAAGAAGGCCUUCGGGUUGUAAACCGCUUUUGUUCGGGAAGAAAUCCUCUGGGCUAAUACCCCGGGGGGAUGACGGUACCGGAAGAAUAAGCACCGGCUAACUACGUG